GAUGAAGAACGCAGCGAAAUGCGAUAAGUAAUGUGAAUUGCAGAAUUCAGUGAAUCAUCGAAUCUUUGAACGCACAUUGCGCCCGCCAGUAUUCUGGCGGGCAUGCCUGUUCGAGCGUCAUUUCAACCAUCAAGCCCCCGGCUUGUGUUGGGGACCUGCGGCUGCCGCAGGCCCUGAAAACCAGUGGCGGGCUCGCUAGUCACUCCGAGCGUAGUAAUACAUCUCGCUCAGGGCGUGCUGCGGGUUCCGGCCGUUAAAAAGCCUUAUUUACCCAAGGUUGACCUCGGAUCAGGUAGGAAGAACCGCUGAACUUAAGCAUAUCAAUAAGCGGAGGA
This 335-nucleotide unclassified non-coding RNA is filed under the name soil metagenome. Its description in RNAcentral is "partial contains 5.8S ribosomal RNA, internal transcribed spacer 2, and large subunit ribosomal RNA". The stretch from base 1 to 120 matches the Rfam family "5.8S ribosomal RNA", at positions 35 to 154 of the family's 154-position model. The record is from RNAcentral.